Molecule: ribosomal RNA, 497 nt
Filed under: uncultured bacterium
Lineage: Bacteria
Description: partial 16S ribosomal RNA
Rfam family: Bacterial small subunit ribosomal RNA
Source: RNAcentral
GAUGAACGCUGGCGGCGUGCCUAAUACAUGCAAGUCGAGCGAACAGACGAGGAGCUUGCUCCUCUGACGUUAGCGGCGGACGGGUGAGUAACACGUGGAUAACCUACCUAUAAGACUGGGAUAACUUCGGGAAACCGGAGCUAAUACCGGAUAAUAUAUUGAACCGCAUGGUUCAAUAGUGAAAGACGGUUUUGCUGUCACUUAUAGAUGGAUCCGCGCCGCAUUAGCUAGUUGGUAAGGUAACGGCUUACCAAGGCAACGAUGCGUAGCCGACCUGAGAGGGUGAUCGGCCACACUGGAACGGAGACACGGUCCAGAGUCCUACGGGAGGCAGCAGUAGGGAAGAUUCCGCAAUGGGCGAAAGCCUGACGGAGCAACGCCGCGUGAGUGAUGAAGGUCUACGGAUCGUAAAACUCUGUUAUUAGGGAAGAAAAAAUGUGUAAGUAACUAUGCACGUAUUGACGGUACCUAAUCAGAAAGCCACGGCUAACUACGUG